GGCGACGAGACUGUUUGCAGAAUCCAUAGAGAAACUGAGUCAGCUGAUUACAGGACUCAUCUGGUUGCUUCCUUAUGCUGACGUAGUGGCAUUAAGUGCCAAAAGAGUGGGCUUACAGGCAUAAUGAAAAACACCACAACUGUGACAUCGCUUUUGUGCACCUGACAACAGAAAACGCAACAAGAAGUGCCAAGUAUUGAAGAUAAAAGCAAAAUAUGUUGCAGUUAAGCGGCUUUUCCCAGGUCACAUAGCUCCUAAGUGAAGAAGCAGGAAUUUGAAGGUCUGGUCUUUCUACUAUGCCAUGAUGCCUUCUCACAUGGAUCUGAGCCCAGAUUGUUUUAAUAGCAUAUGCCUCAAUUAAAAAGUAGCCAUAAUAAAGGUGAUAAGAAUUCUA
Molecule: non-coding RNA, 394 nt
Organism: Phascolarctos cinereus (koala)
Lineage: Eukaryota; Metazoa; Chordata; Mammalia; Diprotodontia; Phascolarctidae
Source: RefSeq, a predicted model, not a curated record